RNAcentral lists this ribosomal RNA (459 nucleotides) under uncultured bacterium. RNAcentral's name for it is "partial 16S ribosomal RNA". It matches the Rfam family "Bacterial small subunit ribosomal RNA", at positions 338 to 795 of the family's 1533-position model. The record is from RNAcentral.
CCUACGGGCGUCAGCAGUGAGGAAUAUUGGUCAAUGGGCGUAAGCCUGAACCAGCCAAGUCGCGUGAGGGAUGACGGUUCUAUGGAUCGUAAACCUCUUUUAUAAGGGAAUAAAGUGUGGGACGUGUCCUAUUUUGUAUGUACCUUAUGAAUAAGGAUCGGCUAACUCCGUGCCGGCAGCCGCGGUAAUACGGAGGAUCCGAGCGUUAUCCGGUUUUAUUGGGUUUAAAGGGUGCGUAGGCGGCCUUUAAAUCAGCGGGGAAAGUCCGGGGGUCAACCAUCGAAUUGCCGUUGAAACUGGGGGGCUUGAGUAGGUUUGAGGCAGGCGGAAUGCGUGGUGUAGCGGUGAAAUGCAUAGAUAUCACGCAGAACCCCGAUUGCGAAGGCAGCAUGCCGGGCCAUGACUGACGCUGAGGCACGAAAGCGUGGGGAUCAAACAGGAUUAGAUACCCGGGUAGUC